This 433-nucleotide ribosomal RNA is filed under the name uncultured bacterium. RNAcentral describes it as "partial 16S ribosomal RNA". It matches the Rfam family "Bacterial small subunit ribosomal RNA", at positions 29 to 507 of the family's 1533-position model. The record is from RNAcentral.
AACGAACGCUGGCGGCAUGCCUAACACAUGCAAGUCGAACGAGACCUUCGGGUCUAGUGGCGCACGGGUGCGUAACGCGUGGGAACCUGCCCUUAGGUUCGGAAUAACUCCCCGAAAGGGGUGCUAAUACCGGAUAAUGUCUUCGGACAAAAGAUUUAUCGCCCUUGGCGGGGCCCGUGUUGGUUUAGCUAGUUGGUAGGGUCAAAGCCUACCAAGACGACGAUCAAUAGUUGGUCCGAUAGGAAGCUCAGCCCCACUGAGACUGAGACACGGCCCAGACUCCUACACGAUGAUGCAGUGCGGUAUAUUGAACCCUUGCCGAAGUCCUGAUGGAGCAAUGACGUUAGAGUUAUGAUGGCCUUAGAGUUGUAAAGCCCUUUUACCCGGGAUGAUAAUGACAGUACCUGGUGAAAGAGCGACGGCUAACUCCGUG